RNAcentral lists this ribosomal RNA (465 nucleotides) under uncultured bacterium. Its description in RNAcentral is "partial 16S ribosomal RNA". It matches the Rfam family "Bacterial small subunit ribosomal RNA", at positions 339 to 795 of the family's 1533-position model. The record is from RNAcentral.
CUACGGGGGGCACCAGUGGGGAAUAUUGGGCAAUGGGCGCAAGCCUGACCCAGCAACGCCGUGUGAGGGAUGAAGGUCUUCGGAUUGUAAACCUCUGUCAGAAGGGAAGAAGUGCAUAGGGUCCAAUAGGCCUUAUGUUUGACGGUACCUUCAGAGGAAGCACCGGCUAACUCCGUGCCAGCAGCCGCGGUAAUACGGAGGGUGCAAGCGUUAUUCGGAAUUACUGGGCGUAAAGCGUACGUAGGCGGCGAGGUAAGUCAGGUGUGAAAUCCCACGGCUCAACCGUGGAACUGCACUUGAAACUGCUUUGCUCGAGUACUGGAGGGGAUGGCGGAAUUCCUGGUGUAGGAGUGAAAUCCGUAGAUAUCAGGAGGAACACCGGUGGCGAAGGCGGCCAUCUGGACAGUAACUGACGCUGAGGUACGAAAGCGUGGGGAGCAAACAGGAUUAGAUACCCGGGUAGUC